Molecule: ribosomal RNA, 109 nt
Filed under: Heterocephalus glaber (naked mole-rat)
Lineage: Eukaryota; Metazoa; Chordata; Mammalia; Rodentia; Bathyergidae
Source: RNAcentral
GUCUACGACCUUACCACCCUGAAUGCACCCAAUCUUGUCUGACCUCAGAAGCUAAGCUGGGUCAGGCCUGGUUAGUACUUGGGUGGGAGAACAAGUAGGAUUAUAUGCU